ACGGGAGGCCGCAGUCGGGAAUAUUGCGCAAUGGAGGAAACUCUGACGCAGUGACGCCGCGUGAAGGAAGAAGGUUUUCGGAUUGUAAACUGCUUUAGACAGGGAAGAAAAAAAUGACAGUACCUGUAGAAUAAGCUCCGGCUAACUACGUGCCAGCAGCCGCGGUAAUACGUAGGGAGAGAGCGUUAUCCGGAUUUAUUGGGUGUAAAGGGUGCGUAGACGGGAAAUUAAGUUAGUUGUGAAAUCCCAAGGCUCAACUUUGGAACUGCAACUAAAACUAAUUUACUUAAGUACUGGAGAGGUAAGUGGAAUUCCUAGUGUAGCGGUGAAAUGCGUAGAUAUUAGGAGGAACACCAGUGGCGAAGGCGACUUUCUGGACAGAAACUGACGUUGAGGCACGAAAGUGUGGGGAGCAAACAGGAUUAGAUACCCUGGUA
This 437-nucleotide ribosomal RNA is filed under the name uncultured Oscillospiraceae bacterium. RNAcentral's name for it is "partial 16S ribosomal RNA". It matches the Rfam family "Bacterial small subunit ribosomal RNA", at positions 341 to 792 of the family's 1533-position model. The record is from RNAcentral. Lineage: Bacteria; Bacillati; Bacillota; Clostridia; Eubacteriales; Oscillospiraceae.